GGUGAAAUCGCGAACAGCUCAUUACAACAGCCAUUGUUUCUUGGAUCUUACAUUCCUACUUGGAUAACUGUGGUAAUUCUAGAGCUAAUACAUGCUACAAAGUUCCGACGAAAGAGGAACGCAUUUAUUAGAGCUAAACCAAUCGGGGGCAACCCUGUUUGUUUGGUGAAUCUGAAUAACUCAGCAGAGCACACGGGCUAGUCCUGGUCACAUAUCUUUCAAGUGUCUGCCUUAUCAACUUUCGAUGGUAGUUUAUGUGCCUACCAU
This 267-nucleotide ribosomal RNA is filed under the name Microlaimus sp. 86L18E15. RNAcentral describes it as "partial 18S ribosomal RNA". It matches the Rfam family "Eukaryotic small subunit ribosomal RNA", at positions 80 to 347 of the family's 1831-position model. The record is from RNAcentral. Lineage: Eukaryota; Metazoa; Nematoda; Chromadorea; Desmodorida; Microlaimidae.